AAUAGCCUAACGGCUGAACCAGCAAUUAGGAAGAAUGUUAGCGAUAGCUAAUUGUAUAACAUGUUAUACAAUAUUGACUAAAUUGAAUAAAAUUCUGAGUAAAUCUAGAUAGUGACUUAGUUUACUCACGUGUCUUGACCAAAAUGCGUGCCAGCAGUCGCGGUAAAACGUAUAAGACUAGUGUUAUUCAUCUUUAACAGGUAUAAAGCGUAAUUAGACGGCAAAUCAAGCUGUAGUAAGAACUAGUUUGCUAGAGUUGUUUGUGAAGGGGCUUGAAAGUACUAAUGGAGUAGAGAUAAAAUGCUAAUAUACCUUUUUUCGAUAGAAAUAUUACGGCACUGGUAAAGGCGAAAGCAUCCUCUUAUAAGAUAACUGACGUUAAAGGACGAAGGCUUAGAGUAUCGAAUAGGAUUAGAUACCCUAGUAGUCUAAGCAGAAAAUGAUGAGUGUCAUAGAUUAGAAUAAGUAUAAUAUAAUAAACGAAAUUAAAAAUUAGAAAUUUAGUCUAUAAAUGAAAAUGUAAGCACUCCACCUUAAGACUAAUGUGGCAACACCCAAAUUGAAAUCAUUAGACCGUUUCUGAGNNNNNNNNNNNNNNNNNNNNNNUAAUUUGAUGACCCGCAAAAAACCUUACCACAACUUGAAUAAAUUUUUUAUAGUUUUGUACAAGCGCUGCACGGCUGUCUUAAGUUGAUUUUCUGAAAAUUUGGUUAGAUCCAUUUAAUUGACGUAAACCCUCCUUUUACUUUUAUGUAAAACGGUUCACCAUUAUAUAGGUUAAGAUAAGAGGGAAGAAGACAAGUCAUCAUG
Molecule: ribosomal RNA, 810 nt
Filed under: Eschatogonia sp. SK-2020b
Lineage: Eukaryota; Fungi; Ascomycota; Lecanoromycetes
Description: partial small subunit ribosomal RNA
Rfam family: Bacterial small subunit ribosomal RNA
Source: RNAcentral